This 1376-nucleotide ribosomal RNA is filed under the name uncultured bacterium. RNAcentral's name for it is "bacterial SSU rRNA". It matches the Rfam family "Bacterial small subunit ribosomal RNA", at positions 29 to 1395 of the family's 1533-position model. The record is from RNAcentral.
UUGAACGCUGGCGGUAUGCUUAACACAUGCAAGUCGAACGGAAACGAUACUAGCUUGCUAGUAGGCGUCGAGUGGCGGACGGGUGAGUAACGCGUAGGAAUCUGCCUGAUAGUGGGGGAUAGCCCGAAGAAAUUCGGAUUAAUACCGCAUAAUCUAUUCGUAGUAAAGUGGGGGACUUUCGAGCCUCACGCUAUCAGAUGAGCCUGCGUAAGAUUAGCUUGUUGGUAGGGUAAAAGCCUACCAAGGCGACGAUCUUUAGCUGGUCUGAGAGGAUGAUCAGCCACAUCGGGACUGAGACACGGCCCGAACUCCUACGGGAGGCAGCAGUGGGGAAUAUUGGACAAUGGGGGCAACCCUGAUCCAGCAAUACCGCGUGUGUGAAGAAGGCCUGAGGGUUGUAAAGCACUUUCAAUUGUGAAGAAAAGUUAGCGGUUAAUAACCGUUAGCCUUGACGUUAACUUUAGAAGAAGCACCGGCUAACUCCGUGCCAGCAGCCGCGGUAAUACGGAGGGUGCAAGCGUUAAUCGGAAUUACUGGGCGUAAAGCGUGCGUAGGCGGUUUAUUAAGUCAGAUGUGAAAGCCCCGGGCUUAACCUGGGAACUGCAUUUGAAACUGGUCAACUAGAGUAUGGUAGAGGAAAGUGGAAUUUCUGGUGUAGCGGUGAAAUGCGUAGAUAUCAGAAGGAACAUCAAUGGCGAAAGGCAGCUUUCUGGACCAAUACUGACGCUGAGGUACGAAAGCGUGGGUAGCAAACAGGAUUAGAUACCCUGGUAGUCCACGCCGUAAACGAUGAUAACUAGCCGUUGGGGGGAUUUACCCUUUAGUGGCGAAGCUAACGCGUUAAGUUAUCCGCCUGGGGAGUACGGCCGCAAGGUUAAAACUCAAAGGAAUUGACGGGGACCCGCACAAGCGGUGGAGCAUGUGGUUUAAUUCGAUGCAACGCGAAGAACCUUACCUGGUCUUGACAUCCUGCGAACUUUCUAGAAAUAGAUUGGUGCCUUCGGGAACGCAGUGACAGGUGCUGCAUGGCUGUCGUCAGCUCGUGUCGUGAGAUGUUGGGUUAAGUCCCGUAACGAGCGCAACCCCUAUCCUUAUUUGCCAGCACAUCAUGGUGGGAACUAUAAGGAGACUGCCGGUGAUAAACCGGAGGAAGGCGGGGACGACGUCAAGUCAUCAUGGCCCUUACGACCAGGGCUACACACGUGCUACAAUGGGAAGGACAAAGAGCCGCGAAGCCGCGAGGUGUAGCUAAUCUCAUAAACCUUUUCGUAGUCCGGAUUGGAGUCUGCAACUCGACUCCAUGAAGUCGGAAUCGCUAGUAAUCGUAGAUCAGAAUGCUACGGUGAAUACGUUCCCGGGUCUUGUACACACCGCCC